Molecule: ribosomal RNA, 253 nt
Filed under: uncultured bacterium
Lineage: Bacteria
Description: partial 16S ribosomal RNA
Rfam family: Bacterial small subunit ribosomal RNA
Source: RNAcentral
UACGAGGGGGGCAAGUGUUGUUCGGAAUCACUGGGCGUAAAGGGAGCGUAGGCGGACGUUUAAGUUGGAUGUUUAAAACCGGGGCCCAACCCCGGGGCGGCAUCCAAAACUGGGCGUCUUGAAUGGGACAGAGGCUGGUGGAAUUGGGGGUGUAGCGGUGGAAUGCGUAGAGAUCCCCAAGAACACCGAUUGCGAAGGCAGCCAGCUGGGUCCACAUUGACGCUGAGGCUCGAAAGCAUGGGGAGCAAACAGG